UGGUGGGUUUCGCGCGCCAAGGACAAAAGCCAUUUAUUUAUGGACUCGAUAUCCGCGAGCGUGCAGCGUGGGCGAAGUCAGGACUGACUCACUGAAAGUUUCGUUCCGAACAUUCGCCUCUUCCCCGCCCCCCUUGGUAGCCAUGGUCUGGAAAGGUCAGGCAGAAGCUGGGAUAAAAAUGGUCUGACUACAACCCGUUGGUGCUUCGCAUCAUUGUGGAGUUUUCUCAAUUGUUGAGAAUCGCUGAGCUAGAUUAUAUAUUCAUCCCCUUCCCUUCCAAAACCCAUUUGCGGAAGCCAAUUUCACCUGUGGCAAUCUGAUAAGCAUAGACUGCGUCUUGUCCCCUAUGUUUGACUUAUAGCCGACCCGGUAUAGUGGCUGAAGCGAGCGGUGUUCCAAGGAUGGCUUUGCUACUUUCGCUGGGUUCCAUGCCACUUCAACCCGCCACAGAGCGCUGCCCGAACCCACCAACGCCAUAAUAGUAAUAAUAGCAUACGUUUCCUCGUUGUAGAUGAAUGGGAGGGACAGUGUUAUGCCACGUGAAGGGAGCAAGAACUACGCGUGAGGUUGAAUAUCUCUGAAAAAAGUAUGCAUGUUGCUAAAAAAAAAGGAAACCCCGAAGUUUAAUAUUGUAUAUUGUAUGGUAGAAGGGGCAACUAACUAAUUCGAAAAAAAAAAAAAACGAGAGAUACGAUACUAAACAAUCCAAGUUGAGAAAAAGGAAAUGAAAUAUCAAAUAUCAAAUAUCAGAUAUGGAAAUGAUGAUGGUCAUGAAGAUGGAGAUCCAAGGAUGAGAAAAAUUUUAUCUGAGGCAGAACUCUCAUUCAACGACGGCAUGGUCUUCCCUUAUCGGGACCCCUUUUCUUCCGCGUCCAGUAAACCUAUAUCGACGACGAUUCAUCCAUGAGCUCCCUUCAGAAAUACGAUAGAAAUAAAUAACAUAUAAAACCCCACAAAUAAUAUCCAGGAAAAUGAUGAACGAACAAAAUGCCCAGGGCCAGGCCCACGCCCAAACGAAUAAUAGCGACGAAAGGAUAUAAAGAGAAGAAUCCAAAAAAGGAAAAAAAAAAAAAAAAAUGAAAAUAAAAGAAUAUAAAAGGACAACAUCCUUCUAUCGAAUCACCCAAAUCGGCCCAUCCCUAUCUGUUCGGUUCCAAAUCCAUUCCGUGAAAUUGUUGUAUCCGCUCGCCUGUUGCUGGAUUUUCAAUAUCUCCCCCCGCCUCUUCCCCCUUCCUCCCGCGCCAACCAGCAAAGGCAAUGCUACGGCUAUACAAAUAACUCCCGGAUACGUGCUGGGACACAAAGCGAUUGCUUUGGUUAGUAUCACCAACGUCGUUUCCCACGAGAUUUCUAACCUCCAUAAUUAGAGUUCUCAUCACCGGCACCAUAACCAUCGCUAGUCGUCAUUACCACCGUCCCCAUCACUGUGAUCGUCAUCGCUAUCGACAUCGCCGUUCCAAUCACCAUAAUUAGAAUCCUCAUCACCGGCACCAUAACCAUCGCUACAGUCGUCAUCGCCAUCGACAUUGCCGUU
Molecule: small RNA, 1534 nt
Filed under: Histoplasma capsulatum
Lineage: Eukaryota; Fungi; Ascomycota; Eurotiomycetes; Onygenales; Ajellomycetaceae
Description: hypothetical RNA
Source: RNAcentral